Molecule: non-coding RNA, 3894 nt
Organism: Equus caballus (horse)
Lineage: Eukaryota; Metazoa; Chordata; Mammalia; Perissodactyla; Equidae
Source: RefSeq, a predicted model, not a curated record
UCCUCCUUUCCACUGCUUGUCCUAUUCCAAUAAUGCUGCCCAGGACUAGCACUGGCACAAAUGCUACAAAAAGAGGAACCAAAACUAGGAGCACUGGGAACAGGCAACAAAAGGAGAAGUGGUAACUCUUAGGGAGAAAAAAAAGGAUUACUUGGUUACUGGCUACAGAUGCCCUUUCCCAGUGUGGUGGUUUUAAAAUAUCUAACAAACAGAACAGGCAGAAACAAUGUUAGAUUUCAGAGAGUAAGUCACAAAAGGCAUUGUGAUUUCCUCUUUGCUCUCUCCCUUGGAUCACUCAUUCCGGAGGAAGACAAGUUCCCUGUCAUGAGGUCCCUCCAGCAGCUUGCGGAGAGGAAAGAGGCCUCCAGACAACAGCCAUGUGCGUGAGCCAUCUUGGAAGCAGCUCCUCCCAGCCCCAGAAAAGAGGUGGAGGCAACAGCCUCUACAGACAGUGAUUCAUCCCCUCAAGCCAAGGACACAAAAUGGGAUGUGACAGAGGAAGCACCUCUCUCCUGAAACACACACAGAAGAGCUCGUGCAAAUUAAAUGAGGCUACAUACAAAGAUUAUAAUACAAAGACUCACAGAUCAAAGCAUUGUUACUCAGAAAUUAGCAAAAGCUAGCAGUCCUGCACAAACUCCAAUUCUAUUUUUUCAAGGCUCUGGCAUAUGCAGUCCACACGGCUGAAGAUGGAACAAAAAGCCCCUCUGUGUCUAGGCUAUUGCUUUUUUAACCAUACUGUAAAAGCAAGCUUGGAAUGAUGGCAUGGGCCAGAACCAAACAGGAUCUGUCUACUGUACACGGACCAGUAUGAAACUUAUUUUGUCAAAAGGUAAAUGAUGAAUACUCUUCAACAAAAUGAUAGGGCCACAGAAACCACGUCAAAGUAAUAGACCACAACAGGUUGUCUGGAAUGCUCUAUCAAUGUUAUGCCAAUUAUCAUAGUUCAAUAAGUCAGAAAUACUAAGUCAUGAUUACAUUUUUAAUUACUAUAAAAUAUGGGUUUCUUCACAGUGAAUUCAGAGUAAUUUACAGUUAUUCUAAAAUAAUCUUUAAAACUAAUUUAAAUUAUCUACAUGAUGCCUUUUACAAAGAGAACUUUUCAACCACUUUUUCAGAAUAAUGAAUUUUUUAAGUGCUGGCUUCUUUAAAUACACACGCACUCCAUUACAUCUUUUACAUAAUCAUCUUCAUUCUCAUCUAUUCAACUUUUACAAAAUAAGAUUUCACAGUGAAUUAUAAUUUAAUAAGAUGCUUUAUACACAGUAGAUCUUCAACUGUUAAAUUAAAAUAAAUUGAUUUUAAUGAAUUUGAAUGACCAGAGGCUUCCUCUUCUGCUGGUUUAAAUAUUCAAGCGUCAGCAUCUCUAUUUCUGUUGCACAGUUCAGGUAACAAAGAAAUUAUUACAAGCAAUGGGAUAGACACUGUGCUAGAUGCUUGGGGUACAGAAGUGAAGACACACAGAGUUCCAAUCCUUUCUUACUGAUUAGUGAAACGAUAAAAAAUAGUUCAUAUUCACUGCAUGAUUACGUAAUAUUUAUGAGUGAUAGAAUUGUUUUAAAUGGAUCUUAUUUAAUUAUCACAAUAGUGCUAUGAAGCAGUAGUAUGAACAUUACCCUGUUACUGAGACUUAGACAAAUUAAACGGCAUUUCUAAGCCCAAGAUCACAAAACUGUUAAAUGGUAGAGCUGGAAUUUAAAAGCACGUCUGCUGCUUCACCAUGACGAUAGUUAGACAGCCUCCCUCAAUAGAUCAUUUCCAUAUAAGCAGGGCACUCCUACAUAAUGUAGGAUGUGAUACUACCCAGCAGGCUACCUGGGUGCUGUGGGGGCCAGAGGACUGGCACUGGGCCCAAGCAUCCAUGUGUGAUGUCAGGAGACAGUGCCAAGGAGACAAUAUCCCUUUACUUCCUUUAAAAAAUCAGAUACUCUCGGGCUGUUGGAUGCCCAGAUGCCCCAAGUCCGAGACCGAUGCCAUCAGGACUGCAGCGGGAGAGGGGAUCUGCUGUCCUCAUCUUUCAGUAAAGCUGUUGGUCUAACAAACAAACAAAAAAAGACCAGAUAACUGGUGGGGUAGUUCUGACUUAGAGAUUUAGGGCAGUGAUUUCAAGAAACUCCAAUAAUUCCUUCAGAGAAGAUCCGAGAGAAGAACACUUCAUGCUGACUGUCUAGCAUGGACUCGGGAAUUAGGACAGCAUAUCUUUCAGCACCACGGCAGCCAGUGUGGAGAGCAAAACGUCAUCAUUCUGCAUCUUACCUUGCGCUGUUGCUCAACUGAACUUGUACCUUUUUUUUCCUUUCCCCAAAACCUUAAGAACAUUACUGAAAACUAUGACUGACAGAAACUCCAGAUUUUUGCUUUACAGUGAACUGACAACAUCUUCCAGUCAUUGUUAGUAUGGCACAUUCUUGUCACUAUUUAAAAAACUCUAAGUUCUAGAAACAAAUUAACAAAAACUUCACUGGCAAAGAUUCUGCUCAUGGUUCUAGCCCACAUACUAAUUAUUUUUUUAAUUUCACAUCUCUACCUUUUCAAAAAUGGGCGGGAAUUCUCUUUUUAUUAAAUUGAUAAUUGAAAAAACAGGGUUCACUUCUUCCUCUUAAUCACUCCCUAUACCCAAAUCCUACUCUAAAACUUAGAGAAAAUGUACAUUGUCCAUUUAAAGCUCGUGUUCUCUAGGGGGAACUUUUCUCUUCAUCCAUCAGCAUAGUGAAGUCAAGGCCUGGCCAGCGCUGCAGAAGCCAUUUCAAAUAAUCCUAUUAACUCCCUAAGAAAACUUUAAGGCAAGAACAAAGGCCUGAUGUGGUGAAAGAAAAACAAAACUGAGGUGAUCAUUAAGACAGUGGAAAAGAGUCAGAUGAGUACACACCAGGACAAAGAAAACAAUUUUUGUUAUAAACACUUGCAAAAAGACCUCAAAAAGAAGCACCGAACAUCUAUUUUCUUGAAGAAAUACACAUUCCAGAGUUAUAACUUUACUCUUGAAAUAAGGUCUGUACGGACUUUAAAUAACAGAAGAAUUCUCUCCCAUUUUUUCCCGUUAUUAGUUUUUGAACCCUGUUUUAGAGCCCUUCUUUUCUCCUUUUUCAUUACGCCUUUGAUCAGAGAUCUGUCCGACAAUAUCCACGAAUAGGAUACAGAACACGAUUUCAGUGGCAUGUUUGGGUCCCUCCCUGGGAAGCAGUCAUCAUCCCUUCUACUGAAACACAGGACUAAUUCCAACCUCUGGGGCUUCUGGUCUGUACUAGAACAAAAUUUUUUUAGUACUGAAACUUAUUUAAGACUACAAACUUUGCAAAUUGUUCCUGUUAAACAAUGACCUCAGGGCAGUAGCUGUCAAAUUACAGAUUACAUACAUUCAUGAUUCAGUAUAGCACAGUCUGCAUUCAUCGCUAAGUCAAUUAAGAUUACAGAAUUAUUAAUUGGUUUCCAUCUAGUUUCCAUGCUAGUUUGAAGUUCAAAUAGUUUCACUGUAUGGACUUAAAUAUUUUCUUAAAAAAUAGUAAACAGCAAUUCUUUUUCUGACCUUCUAAGCAGAUACAGAGAAAACAGGAACAAGAAGCAAUAGAAAGAACAAGUGCAGCUAUCAGAUUUGUGUCUUUUAUAUGCCAUUUGCAAGAAAGAGAAGGGAUUUCAGCGUGGGUUUGGGAAAUGCCUAGAAGCUGGUUUCUAAAAUGGCACCACUACUUGGUAUAAACUAUUUUUUUUCUGUACAAGGUAUUCAAUUCCAACAAAGGAAAAAUAACUACGACUACUACAGAAAACUGGAGUGAUCUCCUGUUAUGUGAUAAAAGGGCUGGUUUUACAUCUUUGUCAGAGUCACAGUGUACAUAUAAUCCACAGGAGUCAAGGAGCUAUCAUUUCACUCAUAGCACAAGUCUUUGGCACACACAA